RNAcentral lists this ribosomal RNA (496 nucleotides) under uncultured bacterium. RNAcentral's name for it is "partial 16S ribosomal RNA". It matches the Rfam family "Bacterial small subunit ribosomal RNA", at positions 28 to 506 of the family's 1533-position model. The record is from RNAcentral.
GAUGAACGCUGGCGGCGUGCCUAAUACAUGCAAGUCGAGCGAACGGACGAGAAGCUUGCUUUUCUGAUGUUAGCGGCGGACGGGUGAGUAACACGUGGAUAACCUACCUAUAAGACUGGGAUAACUUCGGGAAACCGGAGCUAAUACCGGAUAAUAUUUUGAACCGCAUGGUUCAAAAGUGAAAGACGGUCUUGCUGUCACUUAUAGAUGGAUCCGCGCUGCAUUAGCUAGUUGGUAAGGUAACGGCUUACCAAGGCAACGAUGCAUAGCCGACCUGAGAGGGUGAUCGGCCACACUGGAACUGAGACACGGUCCAGACUCCUACGGGAGGCAGCAGUAGGGAAUCUGCCGCAAUGGGCGAAAGCCUGACGGAGCAACGCCGCGUGAGUGAUGAAGGUCUUCGGAUCGUAAAACUCUGUUAUUAGGGAAGAACAUAUGUGUAAGUAACUGUGCACAUCUUGACGGUACCUAAUCAGAAAGCCACGGCUAACUACGU